Molecule: ribosomal RNA, 253 nt
Filed under: uncultured bacterium
Lineage: Bacteria
Description: partial 16S ribosomal RNA
Rfam family: Bacterial small subunit ribosomal RNA
Source: RNAcentral
UACGUAGGUGGCAAGCGUUGUCCGGAUUUACUGGGCGUAAAGGGCGUGCAGGCGGUUUGUUAAGUCUGGGGUGAAAGCUCCCGGCUCAACUGGGAGAGGUCCUUGGAUACUGGCAGACUUGAGGAGAGUAGAGGAGAGUGGAAUUCCCGGUGUAGUGGUGAUAUGCGUAGAUAUCGGGAGGAACACCGGUGGCGAAGGCGGCGACCUGGACCGACACUGACGCUAAUACACGAAAGCGUGGGGAGCAAACAGG